Molecule: transfer RNA, 64 nt
Filed under: Megalodontes quinquecinctus
Lineage: Eukaryota; Metazoa; Arthropoda; Insecta; Hymenoptera; Megalodontesidae
Description: tRNA-Gly
Source: RNAcentral
ACUUAUAUAAUAUAAAAAGUAUAAUUAACUUCCAAUUAAUAAGUCUAAAAUUUUAGUAUAAGUA